AAUAAGCCGCUUCUCUCAUUUUUUUCUCUCGCCACGGAUGGCCGCUAACUUUGGCCAGUGAACUCCAAGACUGCCGCCACCAUUCCUAUUCUCUUCUUCCUCCUUGUCUCUCUCUCCCUACAGAUCCAAGCAUGCCGUUUCCACCUCAAAAUGGAUAGCAGCCGCCGACACUGUCACAUUUUCACCACCAACAAAACCUAUCCCUACCGAUGAAUAUGUCGCAUGC
This 226-nucleotide long non-coding RNA is filed under the name Capsicum annuum. RNAcentral describes it as "long non-coding RNA (CANN_LNC002948)". The record is from RNAcentral. Lineage: Eukaryota; Viridiplantae; Streptophyta; Magnoliopsida; Solanales; Solanaceae.